ACGUCCUACGGGAGGCAGCAGUAAGGGAAUUUUCCGCAAUGGGACGAAAGUCUGACGGAGCAAUGCCGCGUGAGUGAUGAAGGUUUUCGAAUCGUAAAGCUCUGUUGUAAGGGAAGAAUAGCAGUAGUAGGAAAUGACUACUGUGUUGACGGUACCUUACCAGAAAGCCACGGCUAACUACGUGCCAGCAGCCGCGGUAAUACGUAGGUGGCAAGCGUUAUCCGGAAUUAUUGGGCGUAAAGCGCAUGUAGGCGGCUCUUUAAGUCUGAUGUGAAAGCCUGUGGCUCAACCACAGAAAUUGCAUUGGAUACUGGAGAGCUAGAAUCUUGGAGGAGGUAAGUGGAAUUUCAUGUGUAGCGGUGGAAUGCGUAGAUAUAUGAAGGAACACCAAUGGCGAAGGCAGCUUCACUGGACAAGUAUUGACGCUGAGAUGCGAAAGUGUGGUAGCAAACAGGAUUAGAUACCCUGGUAGGCUCUG
This 478-nucleotide ribosomal RNA is filed under the name uncultured bacterium. RNAcentral describes it as "bacterial SSU rRNA". It matches the Rfam family "Bacterial small subunit ribosomal RNA", at positions 335 to 799 of the family's 1533-position model. The record is from RNAcentral.